Molecule: ribosomal RNA, 89 nt
Filed under: Rhodococcus (subgen. Prescottella) equi
Lineage: Bacteria; Bacillati; Actinomycetota; Actinomycetes; Mycobacteriales; Nocardiaceae
Source: RNAcentral
CUUGACGACCAUAGAGCAUUGGAACCACCUGAUCCCAUCCCGAACUCAGUAGCUGAUGAACGAUGCAUCGCCGAUGGUAGUGUGGGUUU